UGCCGGAUAAUAUUUAGAACCGCAUGGUUCUAAAGUGAAAGAUGGUUUUACUAUCACUUAUAGAUGGACCCGCGCCGUAUUAGCUAGUUGGUGGGGUAAUGGCUUACCAAGGCAACGAUACGUAGCCGACCUGAGAGGGUGAUCGGCCACACUGGAACUGAGACACGGUCCAG
RNAcentral lists this ribosomal RNA (173 nucleotides) under uncultured bacterium. Its description in RNAcentral is "partial 16S ribosomal RNA". It matches the Rfam family "Bacterial small subunit ribosomal RNA", at positions 167 to 334 of the family's 1533-position model. The record is from RNAcentral.